CCUACGGGGGGCAGCAGUGGGGAAUAUUGCACAAUGGGGGAAACCCUGAUGCAGCGACGCCGCGUGAGCGAUGAAGUAUUUCGGUAUGUAAAGCUCUAUCAGCAGGGAAGAAAAUGACGGUACCUGACUCAGAAGCCCCGGCUAACUACGUGCCACCAGCCGCGGUUAUACGGAGGGGGCAAGCGUUAUCCGGAUUUACUGGGGGUAAAGGGGGCGUAGACGGUCCUGCAAGCCAGAUGUGAAAGCCCGGGGCUCAACCCCGGGACUGCAUUUGGAACUGUAAGGCUGGAGUGUCGGAGAGGCAGGCGGAAUGCGUGGUGUAGCGGUGAAAUGCGUAGAUAUUGGGAGGAACACCAGUGGCGAAGGCGGCAUGCUGGACGAUGACUGACGUUGAGGCACGAAAGCGUGGGGAGCAAACAGGAUUAGAUACCCUUGUAGUC
This 440-nucleotide ribosomal RNA is filed under the name uncultured bacterium. Its description in RNAcentral is "partial 16S ribosomal RNA". It matches the Rfam family "Bacterial small subunit ribosomal RNA", at positions 338 to 795 of the family's 1533-position model. The record is from RNAcentral.